RNAcentral lists this ribosomal RNA (498 nucleotides) under uncultured bacterium. Its description in RNAcentral is "partial 16S ribosomal RNA". It matches the Rfam family "Bacterial small subunit ribosomal RNA", at positions 28 to 523 of the family's 1533-position model. The record is from RNAcentral.
GAUGAACGCUAGCGGCAGGCCUAAUACAUGCAAGUCGAACGAUAUUUUCCAGCUUGCUGGGAGAGAAAGUGGCGCACGGGUGCGUAACGCGUAUGCAACCUACCUUUAUCAGGGGGAUAGCCCGGAGAAAUCCGGAUUAAUACCGCAUAAAAUCACAGAACGGCAUUGUUCAAUGAUCAAACAUUUAUGGGAUAAAGAUGGGCAUGCGUGUCAUUAGCUAGUUGGCGGGGUGACGGCCCAACAAGGCGACGAUGACUAGGGGAUCUGAGAGGAUGGCCCCCCACACUGGUACUGAGACACGGACCAGACUCCUACGGGAGGCAGCAGUAAGGAAUAUUGGUCAAUGGAGGCAACUCUGAACCAGCCAUGCCGCAUGCAGGAAGACUGCCCUAUGGGUUGUAAACUGCUUUUAUCCGGGAAUAAACCUCCGAUCGUGAUCGGAGCUGAAUGUACCGGAAGAAUAAGGAUCGGCUAACUCCGUGCCAGCCGCCGCGGUAA